Etheostoma spectabile (orangethroat darter) is the source of this 350-nucleotide long non-coding RNA. RefSeq lists it as uncharacterized. The transcript is spliced from 3 exons. NCBI's taxonomy places the organism in Eukaryota, Metazoa, Chordata, Actinopteri, Perciformes, Percidae. The record is from RefSeq and is a predicted model, not a curated record.
CUAAAAGUUUUGAUGAUUUAAAUGAAGUCUGGUGAGUUUGGCAAUAGCGAUUUCCAGGGUUUUCUGCUUAAUCAAAAAGGAUCUUAUUCUUUGAAAAAAGGUCCAUCUCUAUAGGGUUCCUCUCAAAAUGUUGUCAGAAACUGAAUAGAAAUUUGAGACUGUCAGUGGCAAAAACAGAACUUUUAGUGAACUGAAAUUGUCGAUUCACAUUUGCCCUACUGUACAUGGUCAAUUACAUUCCAGUUUAUGCCUCUUCUUGCUCAAUACUGGACCAAUUUUAAAGAUUUUGUACACAUCAGUCAUUUAGAAAGCAGUGCAUGGGAAAAUGUCCAUGAUCCAUGUUGGAAAAU